GGGCCCGCACAAGCGGUGGAGCAUGUGGUUUAAUUCGAUGCAACGCGAAGAACCUUACCUACUCUUGACAUCCAGAGAACUCGCUAGAGAUAGCUUGGUGCCUUCGGGAACUCUGAGACAGGUGCUGCAUGGCUGUCGUCAGCUCGUGUUGUGAAAUGUUGGGUUAAGUCCCGCAACGAGCGCAACCCUUAUCCUUGUUUGCCAGCACGUAAUGGUGGGAACUCCAGGGAGACUGCCGGUGAUAAACCGGAGGAAGGUGGGGACGACGUCAAGUCAUCAUGGCCCUUACGAGUAGGGCUACACACGUGCUACAAUGGCGCAUACAGAGGGCAGCCAACCAGCGAUGGUGAGCGAAUCCCAAAAAGUGCGUCGUAGUCCGGAUUGGAGUCUGCAACUCGACUCCAUGAAGUCGGAAUCGCUAGUAAUCG
Molecule: ribosomal RNA, 428 nt
Filed under: Vibrio comitans
Lineage: Bacteria; Pseudomonadati; Pseudomonadota; Gammaproteobacteria; Vibrionales; Vibrionaceae
Description: bacterial SSU rRNA
Rfam family: Bacterial small subunit ribosomal RNA
Source: RNAcentral